CGGCAGGCUUAACACAUGCAAGUCGAGCGGGGAAGGGUAGCUUGCUACCUGACCUAGCGGCGGACGGGUGAGUAAUGCUUAGGAAUCUGCCUAUUAGUGGGGGACAACAUUCCGAAAGGAAUGCUAAUACCGCAUACGCCCUACGGGGGAAAGCAGGGGAUCUUCGGACCUUGCGCUAAUAGAUGAGCCUAAGUCAGAUUAGCUAGUUGGUGGGGUAAAGGCCUACCAAGGCGACGAUCUGUAGCGGGUCUGAGAGGAUGAUCCGCCACACUGGGACUGAGACACGGCCCAGACUCCUACGGGAGGCAGCAGUGGGGAAUAUUGGACAAUGGGCGAAAGCCUGAUCCAGCCAUGCCGCGUGUGUGAAGAAGGCCUUUUGGUUGUAAAGCACUUUAAGCGAGGAGGAGGCUACUGAGAUUAAUACUCUUGGAUAGUGGACGUUACUCGCAGAAUAAGCACCGGCUAACUCUGUGCCAGCAGCCGCGGUAAUACAGAGGGUGCGAG
This 504-nucleotide ribosomal RNA is filed under the name Acinetobacter johnsonii. RNAcentral describes it as "bacterial SSU rRNA". It matches the Rfam family "Bacterial small subunit ribosomal RNA", at positions 40 to 538 of the family's 1533-position model. The record is from RNAcentral. Lineage: Bacteria; Pseudomonadati; Pseudomonadota; Gammaproteobacteria; Moraxellales; Moraxellaceae.